Molecule: long non-coding RNA, 1027 nt
Organism: Numida meleagris (helmeted guineafowl)
Lineage: Eukaryota; Metazoa; Chordata; Aves; Galliformes; Numididae
Exons: 3
Source: RefSeq, a predicted model, not a curated record
UGAACCUCACCAAGCCCAGCACCUUUGCGUAAGCUCAGUGCAUACUCAGGCAGCAGGUAGCCUGAAAACAAGAGGCACAUCUGGGAGGGAGAGGGGAAAUGUGCUGCUCACCACCAGGCAGUCAGUACUGCCCAGACAGGUUCAGCCACACCAUUGUGUCACCACACGAAGACCAAGAAGGACCACAUCUGGGUGAAUGUUUGCUGAAGGUCUUACAAGCAGACGUUGCCAUCCAGAAGGGCACCAAGUGCUGAUUUAUGCCCUGGGAGUGAUGGCAGUCCAUCCAAGAGCUGUGAUUACCUGUUCCACACCUUCCUGCCUUUCAGGACUCUGCUUUCCUGCUGGAUUUAUGGCACUCCAAACAAGCAGUGCUUCAUCAAACCUGGAUUUGGGUCAACACUGCUUUCCUUUCUACUUUACUCUCCUGUCUCAGGUUCAAGGGUGCAAAUGUCAGAAUGCAAAGAGCUACUGAGGGCUAGAGAGCCAUGGUUGCUAUUUCUUUUAAUGCAGCACAUUCCUCACAAAUGCAAGAGUCCUGAGAACAGCCCAGAGGCAGAAGCCCACCACCAAAGCCUGCUUUGCUUCCUGUGUUUCCCUCUCUCGGUGAGAUGUAGGCUGUGUUCACAUCUUCUGGCAUCUGAGGUGCAACAGGUGAUGGGAUGCAGCUGUAAGAAGAUGAUGACUGCGUCAAAAAAGCCAGCACUCCGAAAUAGCACACAGUGAAAUACCACAGCAAUUCUCAUUUGAAGUCUAUAGUGGGAGAGAAAUUUCCAAAAAUGAAGGGCAAGGUUCCUAAUCCAUAGCAGCUUUUUGCCAGAAAGAUGUGGGAGAGAAGAAACAAGAUGCAUCCUGCAUGAAUCAUCACAGUAACCACCCUGGAUUUAUUAACUGAAAUUAUGAGGAACACCAAAAAUGAUUAAAACCUCAAAAUGUCUGGUGGAAGGCAUCUUCUCAAGGACUGACUAUUGUAAGCUAUUGCUGUAGUCUUCCUGUUGAUAUUAAAGCAGCCAGGACUAAAAGGGCCGAG